AGAGUUUGAUCCUGGCUCAGGACGAACGCUGGCGGCGUGCCUAAUACAUGCAAGUCGAGCGGACUUAAAAAGCUUGCUUUUUAAGUUAGCGGCGGACGGGUGAGUAACACGUGGGCAACCUGCCUGUAAGACUGGGAUAACUUCGGGAAACCGGAGCUAAUACCGGAUAAUCCUUUCCUACUCAUGUAGGAAAGCUGAAAGACGGUUUACGCUGUCACUUACAGAUGGGCCCGCGGCGCAUUAGCUAGUUGGUGAGGUAACGGCUCACCAAGGCGACGAUGCGUAGCCGACCUGAGAGGGUGAUCGGCCACACUGGGACUGAGACACGGCCCAGACUCCUACGGGAGGCAGCAGUAGGGAAUCUUCCGCAAUGGACGAAAGUCUGACGGAGCAACGCCGCGUGAGUGAUGAAGGUUUUCGGAUCGUAAAACUCUGUUGUUAGGGAAGAACAAGUACGAGAGUAACUGCUCGUACCUUGACGGUACCUAACCAGAAAGCCACGGCUAACUACGUGCCAGCAGCCGCGGUAAUACGUAGGUGGCAAGCGUUGUCCGGAAUUAUUGGGCGUAAAGCGCGCGCAGGCGGUCCUUUAAGUCUGAUGUGAAAGCCCACGGCUCAACCGUGGAGGGUCAUUGGAAACUGGGGGACUUGAGUGCAGAAGAGAAGAGUGGAAUUCCACGUGUAGCGGUGAAAUGCGUAGAGAUGUGGAGGAACACCAGUGGCGAAGGCGACUCUUUGGUCUGUAACUGA
Molecule: ribosomal RNA, 750 nt
Filed under: uncultured bacterium
Lineage: Bacteria
Description: bacterial SSU rRNA
Rfam family: Bacterial small subunit ribosomal RNA
Source: RNAcentral